GCAGCAGCCGCGGUAAAACGGAGGGGGCUAGCGUUGUUCGGAAUUACUGGGCGUAAAGCGCACGUAGGCGGCUUGGUAAGUUAGAGGUGAAAGCCUGGAGCUCAACUCCAGAAUUGCCUUUAAGACUGCCGAGCUAGCAGGUGAGAGAGGUAAGUGGAAUUCCGAGUGUAGAGGUGAAAUUCGUAGAUAUUCGGAAGAACACCAGUGGCGAAGGCGGCUUACUGGCUCAUACUGGACGCUGAGGUGCGAAAGCGUGGGGAGCAAACAGGAUUAGAUACCCCAGUAGUCCCUGUCUCUUAUAC
Molecule: ribosomal RNA, 302 nt
Filed under: uncultured bacterium
Lineage: Bacteria
Description: partial 16S ribosomal RNA
Rfam family: Bacterial small subunit ribosomal RNA
Source: RNAcentral